AUUGAACGCUGGCGGCAGGCCUAACACAUGCAAGUCGAGCGGCAGCGGGCCUUCGGGUGCCGGCGAGCGGCGGACGGGUGAGGAACGCGUGGGAAUCUGCCUAUAGGUGGGGGAUAGCCCGGAGAAAUCCGGAUUAAUACCGCAUAAUACCUGAGGGUUAAAACGGAGGAUCGCAAGACUUCGUGCCUAUAGAUGAGCCCACGUCAGAUUAGCUAGUUGGUAGGGUAAAGGCCUACCAAGGCGACGAUCUGUAGCUGGCCGGAGAGGGUGGCCAGCCACACUGGAACUGAGACACGGUCCAGACUCGUACGGGAGGCAGCAGUGGGGAAUAUUGGACAAUGGGCGCAAGCCUGAUCCAGCCAUGCCGCGUGUGUGAAGAAGGCCUUCGGGUUGUAAAGCACUUUAAGUUGGGAGGAAGGUUCGAUGGCUAAUAUCCAUCGGAAUUGACGUUACCAACAGAAUAAGCACCGGCUAAUUCCGUGCCAGCCGCCGCCGUAA
RNAcentral lists this ribosomal RNA (498 nucleotides) under uncultured bacterium. Its description in RNAcentral is "partial 16S ribosomal RNA". It matches the Rfam family "Bacterial small subunit ribosomal RNA", at positions 30 to 523 of the family's 1533-position model. The record is from RNAcentral.